GUUGUAUCUGCCAGGUCAAGCUGGGUGCAAAUAUGCUCUGGAGUUGCUGAAAUGGAAGAGGAAUUUCACCAUGUCGAACUUCUCAUGAGAAAACAGCCCUCUCUUCUGUGUCCUCUUCCCGAGGAUGUGACCUCCUCCUUUCACCCUCCAUUAAAGACAGCCUGUCUGAGAAAAGCAGUGAGCCUGGAAAGUUUCUGGGCCUCAGUUCUUCACAUAAAUAAAAUUAAACGACAAAAUACUUCAAAUGUUAAACACAUGAGAGGAAAAGCCAUAUUCUUACUGUCUUGA
This 288-nucleotide long non-coding RNA is filed under the name Cyanistes caeruleus (blue tit). RNAcentral's name for it is "lncRNA (ENSCCEG00000023473.1)". The record is from RNAcentral. Lineage: Eukaryota; Metazoa; Chordata; Aves; Passeriformes; Paridae.